Molecule: long non-coding RNA, 383 nt
Filed under: Homo sapiens (human)
Lineage: Eukaryota; Metazoa; Chordata; Mammalia; Primates; Hominidae
Description: HSALNT0359802
Source: RNAcentral
AGAUAAGUGCAUUUUAUUGUAAUCCUUACUACCUGUACUUCUGUUUGGGAUCUUGGUGUGUACUUGGAAGUAAUUUUAACCACUGUAGAAUCUUAAAUGUUCGUGUACUGAUACCUUUCACCUUCCUUUAGUCACUAAUCACUCCCAAGAGUAAUUGCUGUGUGUGUGAGUUUAUAAGUUAAUUGUAUCUUGCAUUCAUUCAUCAAACUUUUUACUUCUAGUGUCUCCUAUGGGGCAGCACCAUAGAUGUAUUAAAGAAAAGACUGGUCCUCCCAGUCUGGUGGGGAGACAUAGAAGUGAACACACAAUGAUAAUGCAGUGAAUUGACAGAAGAUGCUCAGUCUUUCCAGCAGCACAGAGGAGAGUAUGCAACAUAGGGCUGG